This is a long non-coding RNA of Ooceraea biroi (clonal raider ant), 268 nucleotides long. RefSeq lists it as uncharacterized. The record is from RefSeq and is a predicted model, not a curated record. NCBI's taxonomy places the organism in Eukaryota, Metazoa, Arthropoda, Insecta, Hymenoptera, Formicidae.
ACGAUCGAUGCGAUGAUGAUGGUGUAUCUUGUUGCCUCUCCUCUUGGGGAAACGACGAAACGUCGCAGCGGCCGUGAGACAACAAAUUCAUUUCGAAUAAUUUCGCAAUUGCUCACCCCAAGUACAGCGUGCCCUCAACGCGAAUUGCGAAGUCACCACGCGCGCGACCAGGGAUUGAAAUGAUGCUGAGGAUCGUGCCAUGAGGGAUCGAUGGUCGUCCAUUACCUAGAUUAAACGAGUUACAUCUAAAGAUCAGUUUAAAUUGGAA